Molecule: ribosomal RNA, 429 nt
Filed under: Gemmatimonadota bacterium
Lineage: Bacteria; Pseudomonadati; Gemmatimonadota
Description: Gemmatimonadetes bacterium partial 16S ribosomal RNA
Rfam family: Bacterial small subunit ribosomal RNA
Source: RNAcentral
UAGGGAAUCUUCGGCAAUGGACGAAAGUCUGACCGAGCAACGCCGCGUGAGUGAAGAAGGUUUUCGGAUCGUAAAACUCUGUUGUUAGAGAAGAACAAGGACGUUAGUAACUGAACGUCCCCUGACGGUAUCUAACCAGAAAGCCACGGCUAACUACGUGCCAGCAGCCGCGGUAAUACGUAGGUUGCAAGCGUUGUCCGGAUUUAUUGUGCGUAAAGCGAGCGCAGGCGGUUUCUUAAGUCUGAUGUGAAAGCCCCCGGCUCAACCGGGGAGGGUCAUUGGAAACUGGGAGACUUGAGUGCAGAAGAGGAGAGUGGAAUUCCAUGUGUAGCGGUGAAAUGCGUAGAUAUAUGGAGGAACACCAGUGGCGAAGGCGGCUCUCUGGACUGUAACUGACGCUGAGGCUCGAAAGCGUGGGGAGCAAACAGG